AGAACGAACGUUAGCGGUGUGGAUUAGGCAUGCAAGUCGAGCGUGAAAGUUCCCUUCGGGGAGCGAGUAAAGCGGCGAAAGGGUGAGUAACACGUAAUCAACCUACCCCCUUGACCGGAAUAACCAGUGGAAACGCUGGCUAAUGCCGGAUGGCCCUGCGGUGUGGCAUCGCGCUGCAGGUAAACGGUAGCUUCGGCUUCUGUAAGGGGAGGGGAUUGCGGCCUAUCAGCUAGUUGGUGGGGUAAUGGCCUACCAAGGCGAUGACGGGUAGCCGGUCUGAGAGGACGAUCGGCCACACUGGGACUGAGACACUGCCCAGACUCCUACGGGAGGCUGCAGUCGAGGAUCUUCCGCAAUGGGCGAAAGCCUGACGGAGCGACACCGCGUGCAGGAUGAAGGCCUUCGGGUUGUAAACUGCUGUCACGCUAUAGGAAUGUCUGGUCGUUAAUAGCGGCCAGGUUGACUAAAGCGAGAGGAAGCACCGGCUAACUCCGUGCCAGCAGCCGCGGUAAGACGGAGGGUGCAAACGUUGUUCGGAUUCACUGGGCAUAAAGCGCACGUAGGCGGCUCGUUUAGUCAGACGUGAAAUCCCCCGGCUCAACCGGGGAAUGGCAUCUGAUACUGGCGGGCUCGAGGUCGAUAGGGGUGAGCGGAACUCCAGGUGGAGCGGUGAAAUGCGUAGAUAUCUGGAGGAACACCGGUGGCGAAAGCGGCUCACUAGGCCGACACUGACGCUAAGGUGCGAAAGCUAGGGUAGCAAACGGGAUUAGAUACCCCGGUAGUCCUAGCCGUAAACGAUGGGAACUAGGUAGGGGGGUUGCCUAUGAGCCUCUCUGCCGGAGCUAAUGUGUUAAGUCCCCGCC
RNAcentral lists this ribosomal RNA (863 nucleotides) under uncultured bacterium. RNAcentral's name for it is "bacterial SSU rRNA". It matches the Rfam family "Bacterial small subunit ribosomal RNA", at positions 26 to 873 of the family's 1533-position model. The record is from RNAcentral.